Molecule: ribosomal RNA, 253 nt
Filed under: uncultured bacterium
Lineage: Bacteria
Description: partial 16S ribosomal RNA
Rfam family: Bacterial small subunit ribosomal RNA
Source: RNAcentral
UACGUAGGGUGCGAGCGUUAAUCGGAAUUACUGGGCGUAAAGCGUGCGCAGGCGGUUCGUUGUGUCUGUGGUGAAAGCCCCGGGCUUAACCUGGGAAUGGCCAUGGAAACUGGCGAGCUGGAGUGUGGCAGAGGGGGGUGGAAUUCCGCGUGUAGCAGUGAAAUGCGUAGAUAUGCGGAGGAACACCGAUGGCGAAGGCAAUCCCCUGGGCCUGCACUGACGCUCAUGCACGAAAGCGUGGGGAGCAAACAGG